This is a non-coding RNA of Durio zibethinus, 2078 nucleotides long. Lineage: Eukaryota; Viridiplantae; Streptophyta; Magnoliopsida; Malvales; Malvaceae. The record is from RefSeq and is a predicted model, not a curated record.
CAAAAAAAAAAAACCUAUCUCAUCUGUCCUAAUUUUAAGAGUUAUGUACCAAAAGCCAAGAGGAGAAGCUUAGAAUUGCUAACUUAUCAAAGCGGUUGAUUCUUGGAUAAAGGGAGAGCCUUUUCACUUCUUCUUCUUCUUCGUCUUCUUCUUCGUCUUCUUCUUCUUGUUCUCUCUCUCUCUCUCGUUCUGUUUCAGUGUUGGACCGAGUGGGAAGGAGGAUGGCGGCCCGUAGAGAGAAAGGGCAGUCACUUCGCGGAUCUCGAAUUGCUGUAGCCAUUGUGAUCGGAGUUCUUCUUGGAUGCGUCAUCGCUUUCUUUUUCCCUCAUGGCCUCAUCAACCCCACUCCCUCUUCUCAAAAUCGUCGAUUUGGCAAAUCAAAUUUCCAGAUUGGUUCUUCAUCAUGUGAAUCCUCGGAGCGGAUUAAGAUGCUGAAGUCUGAAAUUGUAUCUCUAUCAGAGAAGAAUUCUGAAUUAAAGAAGCAUGUCAAAGAUUUGACAGAAAAGCUACAGCUGGCUGAACAAGGAAAAGAUCAUGCACAGAAGCAGUUUUUGGUGUUGGGUGAACAGCACAAAGCUGGACCUUUUGGUGCUGUCAAGGCUUUACGAACUAACCCAACUGUUGUUCCUGAUGACUCUGUGAACCCAAGAUUGGCUAAGAUAUUGGAGGAAGUUGCUGUUCGGAAAGAGCUCAUAGUUGCACUUGCCAAUUCAAACGUGAAAGAGAUGUUGGAGGUUUGGUUUUCUAACAUCAAGAGAGUUGGUAUACCUAAUUACCUAGUUAUAGCUUUAGAUGACCAGAUUGUAGAAUUCUGCAAAUCAAAUGAUGUUCCAGUGUACAAAAGGGAUCCUGAUGAGGGUGUUGAUGCUGUUGGGAGAACAGGAGGCAAUCACGCUGUCUCUGGAUUGAAGUUCCGCAUUUUAAGGGAGUUUUUGCAACUGGGUUACAGCGUUCUUCUCUCUGAUGUUGAUAUAGUAUACCUACAAAACCCAUUCAACCAUCUUUAUCGGGAUUCUGACGUAGAGUCCAUGACUGACGGUCACAAUAAUAUGACUGCAUACGGUUAUAAUGAUGUCUUUGAUGAACCUGCCAUGGGUUGGGCUCGUUAUGCUCAUACAAUGAGAAUAUGGGUUUACAACUCUGGUUUCUUUUAUAUACGACCUACAAUUCCUUCAAUUGAGCUUUUGGACCGUGUGGCUGAUCGGAUGGCUCGGCAACAAAAUGCAUGGGAUCAAGCUGUUUUUAAUGAGGAACUGUUUUUCCCUUCACAUCCUGGGUAUGAUGGGCUUCAUGCUGCCAAGAGAACUAUGGAUUUCUACAUGUUUAUGAACAGUAAGGUCCUCUUUAAAACAGUAAGGAAAGAUGCUAAACUGAAGAAGUUAAAGCCUGUGAUUGUUCACGUAAAUUACCACCCAGAUAAACUUCGAAGAAUGAAAGCAGUUGUAGAAUUCUAUGUUAAUGGCAAACAAGACGCAUUGGACCCUUUCCCGGAUGGUUCUGGUUGGUAGGAGUAGCAUCUUUAAGGAUCUCAUGUUGACCCAUGCAUGGGCUCACCUUUCACUAGUUGCAAAGUCACUUCAUACGGUGGAACAUCACAAUUGCCGAUAGAAGACACCAUGCAAGUUUUUAUUUCCCCAAGAAUUUUGUUUAGUAAUAGAAGCUCCUUACAAAAUAAAAUUGGACUUUUCUAUUCAAUUCUGUAUAAUGAACCAUUGUUGGAAGACACUUGGGCGGCAUGUUUCUGCUGUCCUUUUACAGGAGGUUGUUACCAUUAUAAAUUUCUGAAGCGAUCACUCACAACCUACUAGAACCAGUUAUCUUAAUUCUAAAUCAACUGUGAUUGCACCCUUUGCCAAUUGAAUCUGAAUUUGGAGGGGUAGGCCCUGGAAUGAUGCAAACCGGUCAUUUUUCUUUGGAUUAGGCAUUUCUCUUUAACAUCUAAGCACCAAUUAUCCAACAGGCAUUAUGGAUGGUCCCUUUUUUCCCACUUUGACGCCGAAUGUAACCUGGAAACGAACAUUUUAAGGUGACUUUGGAUUGGAACUUGGAGAAACUUUUCUGCUAAACUACCAUUAUUU